CGGUAAUACGUAGGUGGCAAGCGUUGUCCGGAUUUAUUGGGCGUAAAGCGAGCGCAGGCGGUUUUUUAAGUCUGAUGUGAAAGCCUUUCGGCUUAACCGGAGAAGUGCAUCGGAAACUGGGAGACUUGAGUGCAGAAGAGGACAGUGGAACUCCAUGUGUAGCGGUGGAAUGCGUAGAUAUAUGGAAGAACACCAGUGGCGAAGGCGGCUGUCUAGUCUGUAACUGACGCUGAGGCUCGAAAGCAUGGGUAGCGAACAGGAUUAGAUACCCUGGUAGUCCAUGCCGUAAACGAUGAGUGCUAAGUGUUGGAGGGUUUCCGCCCUUCAGUGCUGCAGCUAACGCAUUAAGCACUCCGCCUGGGGAGUACGACCGCAAGGUUGAAACUCAAAGGAAUUGACGGGGGCCCGCACAAGCGGUGGAGCAUGUGGUUUAAUUCGAAGCUACGCGAAGAACCUUACCAGGUCUUGACAUCUUCUGCCAAUCUUAGAGAUAAGACGUUCCCUUCGGGGACAGAAUGACAGGUGGUGCAUGGUUGUCGUCAGCUCGUGUCGUGAGAUGUUGGGUUAAGUCCCGCAACGAGCGCAACCCUUAUUAUCAGUUGCCAGCAUUCAGUUGGGCACUCUGGUGAGACUGCCGGUGACAAACCGGAGGAAGGUGGGGAUGACGUCAAAUCAUCAUGCCCCUUAUGACCUGGGCUACACACGUGCUACAAUGGACGGUACAACGAGUCGCGAAGUCGUGAGGCUAAGCUAAUCUCUUAAAGCCGUUCUCAGUUCGGAUUGUAGGCUGCAACUCGCCUACAUGAAGUUGGAAUCGCUAGUAAUCGCGGAUCAGCAUGCCGCGGUGAAUACGUUCCCGGGCCUUGUACACACCGCCCGUCACACCAUGAGAGUUUGUAACACCCAAAGCCGGUGAGAUAACC
Molecule: ribosomal RNA, 923 nt
Filed under: Levilactobacillus brevis
Lineage: Bacteria; Bacillati; Bacillota; Bacilli; Lactobacillales; Lactobacillaceae
Description: bacterial SSU rRNA
Rfam family: Bacterial small subunit ribosomal RNA
Source: RNAcentral